Molecule: RNA transcript, 735 nt
Organism: Alosa sapidissima (American shad)
Lineage: Eukaryota; Metazoa; Chordata; Actinopteri; Clupeiformes; Clupeidae
Gene name: beta-microseminoprotein-like
Exons: 6
Source: RefSeq, a predicted model, not a curated record
AACUAGAUGGCAGAAACAUUUGACUACCGAAGGUUGGAUGGAUACGGAAGUUAGGAGGCGGGACUUAUUCUGGAGAGGUCUAUCCCAGUUAAGGACAAGGAGGACAGCUCCACCCCUAUUCCAGCAGGUUGCUGGUUUAAAGCGCCACUGCACAGUUACCCAUCAUGAGAAAUACAGGCUCAGUUUGCAAACAUGAGGUGUGCAGCUGUGAUACUGAUGUUGUGCACUCUGGCAGCAUUGACUAAUGCUGCCUGCUGGUUCACAGAAAAGGAAAAACCACGAGUAAUUGUGGACAGCGAUGGCAACACACGGAUUGAAGACACAGCCCAGAACCCUUGCCUGGAUGAGUUUGAUAAUCAGACCUAUCCUGUUGUGUCCACAUGGAGAAGCAGGAAAUGCCAGCGUUGCACUUGCACAGAGAGAGGAAUGGAGUGUUGCCACAUGUAAGUGGACCACAUGACCUUACAGGUCAAAGGAUGGGAAGUCCACGUGGAUAUGACCGUGACUGUGAGGCGCAUUAUGACUGGGAGAACUGCUCAUUCAAAGUAGUUAAAAAGUCUGACGAAGGCAUUUUUUGUCCCCACGAUGCUGUUGGGAAAUAACAAGGUUCUACAAGUGCAUUAUAUAACAUGGAUGGCAGAGUGCAGUGCAUCUCUGUUGUGUACACCAUCUGAGACCAUCGAUACAUGGGGAUCAACAUCACUAGUGAAAUAAUAAAAGAUAUCAUGAAAGAAA